This 484-nucleotide ribosomal RNA is filed under the name uncultured bacterium. RNAcentral describes it as "partial 16S ribosomal RNA". It matches the Rfam family "Bacterial small subunit ribosomal RNA", at positions 30 to 507 of the family's 1533-position model. The record is from RNAcentral.
AUUGAACGCUGGCGGCAGGCCUAACACAUGCAAGUCGAGCGGAUGAAGGGAGCUUGCUCCUGGAUUCAGCGGCGGACGGGUGAGUAAUGCCUAGGAAUCUGCCUGGUAGUGGGGGAUAACGUCCGGAAACGGGCGCUAAUACCGCAUACGUCCUGAGGGAGAAAGUGGGGGAUCUUCGGACCUCACGCUAUCAGAUGAGCCUAGGUCGGAUUAGCUAGGUGGUGGGGUAAAGGCCUACCAAGGCGACGAUCCGUAACUGGUCUGAGAGGAUGAUCAGUCACACUGGAACUGAGACACGGUCCAGACUCCUACGGGAGGCAGCAGUGUGGAAUAUUGGACAAUGGGCGAAAGCCUGAUCCAGCCAUGCCGAGUGUGUGAAGAAGGUCUUCGGAUUGUAAAGCACGUUAAGUUGGGAGGAAGGGCAGUAAGUUAAUACCUUGCUGUUUUGACGUUACCAACAGAAUAAGCACCGGCUAACUUCGUG